AGUAAUUCUUUAGUUAUUGAUAAUUAACUUAAUUAAAUUUACUA
This 44-nucleotide transfer RNA is filed under the name Panonychus citri (citrus red mite). RNAcentral's name for it is "tRNA-Ile". The record is from RNAcentral. Lineage: Eukaryota; Metazoa; Arthropoda; Arachnida; Trombidiformes; Tetranychidae.